RNAcentral lists this long non-coding RNA (350 nucleotides) under Monodelphis domestica (gray short-tailed opossum). RNAcentral describes it as "lncRNA (ENSMODG00000031104.2)". Lineage: Eukaryota; Metazoa; Chordata; Mammalia; Didelphimorphia; Didelphidae. The record is from RNAcentral.
UUUCCUCUAGUUUGAACAAUAGAUAUUUAUUCAUUUUCUUGUGGUUUUUUCCCCCUAUGUAGAUAAUUAGGUCAACUUCUUGUGAAGGACUGUGAAUCUCCUUCAGUUAACUUGGCCAUAUUCUGAGACCUCAUUCAAUUAGCAUCAUGUCAUCCACCAACAAAAGCAUUUGCAGGACCUCAUUGUCUACAGGUCACAGUCAAGGUGGAUCAUUGAAGGCCCCGUAGCCCUAGCCUGGUAAUGGCUGGACACUGGAAGAAAACUGACUGAGAUGCUCAGACACCAUUUGAACUAUUCCUGCUGAUGUGUUUAUUCAUAAGAAUUGGUAGGGGCUAUGCAUUAAUAGAGAG